RNAcentral lists this ribosomal RNA (465 nucleotides) under uncultured bacterium. RNAcentral describes it as "bacterial SSU rRNA". It matches the Rfam family "Bacterial small subunit ribosomal RNA", at positions 339 to 796 of the family's 1533-position model. The record is from RNAcentral.
UUACGGGAGGCAGCAGUAGGGAAUCUUCGGCAAUGGGCGAAAGCCUGACCGAGCAACGCCGCGUGAAUGAUGAAGGCCUUCGGGUUGUAAAAUUCUGUUAUAAGGGAAGAACGACUUUAGUAGGAAAUGGCUAGAGUGUGACGGUACCUUAUGAGAAAGCCACGGCUAACUACGUGCCAGCAGCCGCGGUAAUACGUAGGUGGCGAGCGUUAUCCGGAAUUAUUGGGCGUAAAGAGCGCGCAGGUGGUUGAUUAAGUCUGAUGUGAAAGCCCACGGCUUAACCGUGGAGGGUCAUUGGAAACUGGUCGACUUGAGUGCAGAAGAGGGAAGUGGAAUUCCAUGUGUAGCGGUGAAAUGCGUAGAGAUAUGGAGGAACACCAGUGGCGAAGGCGGCUUCCUGGUCUGUAACUGACACUGAGGCGCGAAAGCGUGGGGAGCAAACAGGAUUAGAUACCCUGGUAGUCG